AAGAAUUAUGUACAUACAUUGUAUAUACAUAUGUCAUUGUUUUCCUUCAGUCGAGAGGGGGCGCACGUGUUAAUCUGCCACACAAAGGAUUUAGAGUGCCGCCCCCACAGCCACAGAGAAAGGCGAGCAGUGAAAAAAUAAAUAAAAUAAGCACACACAACAACAAAAGCGGCAGCAGCAGUAGCAGCAGCAGCAAAUCGACCUCCUCCUCCACCUCCUUCUCUGGGCUUUUCCUUACACUCUGCUGGGUUCUGCACGUUGCAAUUUGGUGCUGCUCUUCGGUUUGCCAAUGCCAUUGUUUGACUGGGGCUAAUACGAGUAUGACUGAGCCUCAGCUCUGCGGACGCUUCUGGAGUUGCAGUCGAAGAAAAAACAGAAGAAAAAUGGAGCACUAAAAGGAAAAUGAGACAGAGAGAGAGAGAGAGAGAGAAAGUAGUAAGAAUACAACUGAGAUUUCCAAAGACAGGACAAGACCGGACAGGGCACGCCACAUCCUGGCUCACGUCCCAUGGUCGAGGAUAACGCAAGAAAAUGUUCUUAAAUUAAAUAUUUGCUUGGUCCAAAUCAGCCCCAGAGCCACAGUGGCACAAGCUCCCGAUCCCGCACCCGCUCCAGGUCCCUAUCCGGCACCCGCGCCCUGCUAUCCGAGCCAUCAAAGACCCGGACGACGCGGCGCUUGCAUUGGUGGGUUAAGAGAAUAUGCAACUAAUCAUCAUGACAUCCACAAUGCUCGUCCAUAAAUAUUUCACAUGCUCUCAGGCCAUUUUCGUGCAAAUAUUCAACAAAUGCAUUGUCACUGGGAUCGCGCUAUGUGAUGUGUGUGUGUGUGUGUGUGUGCCUUUGUGGGUGUGUUUGUCCAAGUAAGUGGGGGAAUGUUGGGAAUUGAGAGGACUUUAAACGAGUUUCAUCUUGACUUGAGUCUUAGCCUGUUGUGAGGUUGGGCAAAAAAUGAUAUGAUUAUCUGAAAUAAGCUGUCAUAAGGCUAGAAUGCAAUUAAAAGACAUGCAAAAAGUGCACUGAUUAAAAGGUAUCACUUUCAGCUAAAAACUUCAAGAAAUUUUCC
Long non-coding RNA from Drosophila pseudoobscura, 1063 nucleotides. RefSeq lists it as uncharacterized. The record is from RefSeq and is a predicted model, not a curated record. The transcript has 3 exons. Lineage: Eukaryota; Metazoa; Arthropoda; Insecta; Diptera; Drosophilidae.